Molecule: ribosomal RNA, 346 nt
Filed under: Anaerolineales bacterium
Lineage: Bacteria; Bacillati; Chloroflexota; Anaerolineae; Anaerolineales
Description: bacterial SSU rRNA
Rfam family: Bacterial small subunit ribosomal RNA
Source: RNAcentral
UUUGCGGAGAGUUUGAUCCUGGCUCAGGAUGAACGCUGGCGGCGUGCCUAAUACAUGCAAGUCGAACGAAGAAGUUCCGGUGCUUGCACUGGAGCUUUUAGUGGCGGACGGGUGAGUAACGCGUUGGUGACCUGCCCUAAAGAAGGGGAUAACCUCGGGAAACUGAGGCUAAUACCCUAUGCACCUCAUUUGCUUAGAUGCUUAUGAAGUAAAGGUUCUGCGGACGAAAGGCUGCAGCGCCACUUUAGGAGGGGCCUGCGUCCCAUCAGCUAGUUGGUAGGGUAAUGGCCUACCAAGGCGAUGACGGGUAGGGGACCUGAGAGGGUGACCCCCCACACUAGCACUG